Molecule: transfer RNA, 76 nt
Filed under: Allomuricauda sp. SCSIO 64092
Lineage: Bacteria; Pseudomonadati; Bacteroidota; Flavobacteriia; Flavobacteriales; Flavobacteriaceae
Description: Muricauda sp. SCSIO 64092 tRNA-Asn
Source: RNAcentral
GGGAAAUGGCAGCAUGGUGCCAGAGCGUCCCGACCAUUGGUCGGGAAGGCCACCGGUUCGACUCCGGUAUUCUCCA